AAGAUAACAUGAAAUGUAAUCAUGGUGUUCUUCAUACAUACAUUUUCAGCAAAGACUCUUUUCUCUCGCUCCGGUACUUUGAGUAUUUUUAGUGAAUUUUGUAUAUCUGUUUGAACACACGAAAUCUAAAAAGUAAGAUUCCUAUUUAUAAUAAUUCGACCCUAACGGUCUCUACACAGAUGAUUGCCACGUUCGACGUUUUCAAGCGCUGCGUGUCUCAGAUGCUUCCACGCAUUCGCCUGACGAAACUACUUCGUUU
Molecule: long non-coding RNA, 259 nt
Filed under: Lathyrus oleraceus (garden pea)
Lineage: Eukaryota; Viridiplantae; Streptophyta; Magnoliopsida; Fabales; Fabaceae
Description: Pisum sativum (pea) long non-coding RNA (PSAT_LNC007592)
Source: RNAcentral